RNAcentral lists this ribosomal RNA (484 nucleotides) under uncultured bacterium. RNAcentral describes it as "partial 16S ribosomal RNA". It matches the Rfam family "Bacterial small subunit ribosomal RNA", at positions 29 to 507 of the family's 1533-position model. The record is from RNAcentral.
AGUGAACGCUGGCGGCAGGCCUAACACAUGCAAGUCGAGCGGCAGCGCGGGGGCAACCCUGGCGGCGAGCGGCGGACGGGUGAGGAAUUCGUCGGAAUCUGCCUUUUUGUGGGGGAUAACGUAGGGAAACUUACGCUAAUACCGCAUACGUCCUACGGGAGAAAGUGGGGGACCGCAAGGCCUCACGCAGAAAGAUGAGCCGACGACCGAUUAGCUAGUUGGUGGGGUAAAGGCCCACCAAGGCGACGAUCGGUAGCUGGUCUGAGAGGAUGAUCAGCCACACUGGGACUGAGACACGGCCCAGACUCCUACGGGUGGCAGCAGUGGGGAAUAUUGGACAAUGGGCGCAAGCCUGAUCCAGCCAUGCCGCGUGUGUGAAGAAGGCCUUCGGGUUGUAAAGCACUUUUGUCCGGAAAGAAAUCCCUGGAGCUAAUACCUUCGGGGGAUGACGGUACCGGAAGAAUAAGCACCGGCUAACUUCGUG